UGUGUGUGUGUGUUGUGUGUGUGUGUGUGUGUGUGUGUGUGUGUGUGUGUGUGUGUACUUUCAACAGCAUGCUGCUCUGUGAUUUGUUAAUUGAAGGAUCUGUCACAAUGUGUGGUUGUGUCUGAGAUGGUGGGGGAAUCAAACCAGACACUAAUUAAAUGUUGGUUUUUCUUUAGGGCUGUAUAGAAUAAUAAAUUACAAAGAAAAACACAAGUGUAAGAGAAAACAUUGGAAAUUAGCUGAGGUUAAGGAGGUCAUAUGUACAAAAACACGACGAGAACAAUAUUCAUAGGUCCCGCAUGCUUAGAGCGGUUGUGCACUUUCAAAAACUCUUUUUUGGGCUAAAGCCACUGCAAUACUGUCCCCCCAAAAUGGACACAGUGUGUAUUUUCACACUUGUUCAGAAAUGUCUCUACGUUGUCGCUGCUCAGACAUGAAUAUAUGGAUUUAAAGGAUGACUCCUCCAUCAAGUGAAUACAAGGUCUGUUCAGGGGGAGAAUCAGCUGCUGAGUCAAAGCAACAAUAUCACUUGGGAUGAAAUACUUUGCAUUACAUAAACACUGCAUUUAAAUGAUUUAAAGCACACAUUUCUCCCAAGUAAUGCUACAAUGUCAUGUGACAUGAUUAGUGAAUGAUGUGCUCUGACUGUAUUUCUAAACACCAGAGCAGUGAGGAAGAAGAAAGACAACAGUGAAUGUGUGGGAUUCAAUUUGUUUUAUAUUUAUUCUAUAUUUAUAAAGAAUGUUACUUUCUUUGUA
This is a long non-coding RNA of Trematomus bernacchii (emerald rockcod), 758 nucleotides long. RefSeq lists it as uncharacterized. NCBI's taxonomy places the organism in Eukaryota, Metazoa, Chordata, Actinopteri, Perciformes, Nototheniidae. The transcript is spliced from 2 exons. The record is from RefSeq and is a predicted model, not a curated record.